This 612-nucleotide long non-coding RNA is filed under the name Lonchura striata (white-rumped munia). RNAcentral's name for it is "domestica (Bengalese finch) lncRNA (ENSLSDG00000003002.1)". Lineage: Eukaryota; Metazoa; Chordata; Aves; Passeriformes; Estrildidae. The record is from RNAcentral.
ACUCAAAAUCUUGCAAAAAACCCCAAAAAACCCAGGAAAAAUCAACCCCGAAAUAAUUUAAAUUAAUAAUUCCAAAUUUCACCAUUGGAAAAAAGUGAAUUCCAGAGAAAAUCCCUCAUUAAUCCAUCACCACGACAAAGGAGAUCAAAUUUGGGAGAUAAAUUCUUCCUUUUUUUCCUCCCCACUUUGGGGGAAAAUACCCAAUUUUUAGGGAUUUGGGAAUAAAACUUCCAAAUUUGGGGCAUGAUCGCAGCUCAGCUGGAGUAUUUUUGGGAUGGAUUCCUCGGGAUGGAUUCCUCAGGAUGGAUUCCAUGGGAUGGAUUGUCAGGAUUCCUCGGGAUGGAUUCCAUGGGAUGGAUUCCAUGGGAUGGAUUCCAUGGGAUGGAUUCCAUGGGAUGGAUUCCUCAGGAUGGAUUCCUCAGGAUGGAUUCCUCAGGAUGGAUUCCUUGGGAAGGAUUAUCAGGAUUCCUCGGGAUGGAUCCCUCGGGAGGGAUUCCUCGGGAGAAGCGCUCAGCACUGCUCGGCCUCCACAAUUCCCUCUUUCUCCUGGCUGGCCGCCUCCACCUCGGCGUAGGAGCUGCGGCGGCCGCGGCUCCGGAAUUUCAUGGCGGG